RNAcentral lists this long non-coding RNA (4111 nucleotides) under Homo sapiens (human). Its description in RNAcentral is "HSALNT0317740". Lineage: Eukaryota; Metazoa; Chordata; Mammalia; Primates; Hominidae. The record is from RNAcentral.
UGCUGUGGGGGGAGGGGGUUGUUCAAGGGAUGGGGACGAUCAGGGUCUCUGGGAAGUGCUGACGUGUGCGCGUGUGCGGUGUGUUGCUUGUGGGUGCGUGUGUGGUGUGUGCAUGUGUGUGCGCGCGCGUGUGUGCGGGGUGUGCCGUGAGCGUGUGCCCGCGGUUCGGGGGAUGAGUAGGGGCGCUGACUUUUAGGACCAGCCAUUUGAGUCAAGCUGGAGACGACGUCUUAGAACCUAGGAUGAGUCUCGUUUGGUUUUAGUCUGCAAAGCUCGUCUGCAUCAGACAGGAAUUUUCCCCAGACGCGGGUGCACGUGAAUUAAUUCAUCAGAAGGCGGUUCACGGCCUGAGUGAGGGGGACGAGGGCGGCGAAUUCCUCCGCCUCAUUCCUACCCUGACGAUUCGAGGUGCCGCUCCGAGUGCUCUACACAGAUUUUCAUUCAGUCCUUGCGGCACACGAAGGUAGGCGGCCCCACUGCCCUCACAGAGGCUUCCCAUGCAGGAGCCAGUGACUGGCGGAGCGCCGCUCACACUCAGGCUCCGCGAACUGCCUCCCUGCCCUCCCCUGCCCCGGACAGACGGUCCUCCAUAAGAGGCAGGAUUUCCCUGUGGUCCAAAGGUGUGUGUCCCUGCCACAUUGGGAGUUCAGCUCACUGCGGUCCUGUCCAGCUUGCCCCCGUCUCCCAUCCACAUCAGGAUCUGGCUUUGCCCCAGCUAUGUGGAAUGAGUGCAUGAACAAAUGAAUGGGUGGGUUGCUCCAUCUUGUGACAGGACAGCAAAGUCAGCUGGUUCUGCUCCUACGGCGCUCAGGGUCAGGUGAGACAGGCCGGCCCGCAGGCAGACAGGCCCUCAUCUCUGUAUUGGGGGUGGGGAAGGGGCUCUGGCAGGGCGCAUGCCCCAGCAGCAGGAACGUCAAGAGCAGAGGCCCUGGAGGAGACAGCCCGGAGCUGGCGCACAGUAAAGUCUUCAGAUAGGAGGGGCAGAGUGAGGGUGCCACCGUCGGGCAGCAGGUGCCCACCCAGAAGGGUCUUUGAGCCUUGCGGGGAAGUUCAGACUUUACCCUGAGGAUAAAGGAGGUCCUGGACCCGCAGGAGGAUGCCCUGGUGGGUCUAGAAGGAGCCCUGCCACUGGGGAGCUGGUGGGGUUUCCGCCCUCACGGUGCAAUCACAGGGUUGCCUGCUUAUCUCCCCCGCCCUUUUCCCAUCACUUCCUGAGACUCUGCAGAUGGUCAGCAGUGUUCCUGAGUGGAUGACAUUGGGUGGGCAGAGAGAGGGGAGGGCAGUCUGUGGUCCCAGUCAUGUAGAGCUUCCUUGUACAGUCUGUGGUCCCAGUCAUGUAGAGCUUCCUUGUACAGUCUGUUGAGCUCACAUACCCUCAAUGGCCCUUCACUCACAGGGAUGGCCUCUGCACUUCAGCUGGUUUCUGACACCUAAAAACAGAAGUGGAAAAGGGAGCAGACGCAGCCACAUUUUGAAAGCUGAUUCGGUUGCUUUCUGGCAGAAUCCCUGCCCCCAAGCACCUGCCAGGCCCACCCAUGAAGCCUCUUCCCACGCCUUAACUCUGCCCCAUGAGGGGACCUCAAGCAGUUGCAGUCUAGUCAGGUGAUUUGCAGAGCUCAGGGCUCAGGGAGGGGCACCCACCUCAGAAAAAAGCGCCGUGCUCAUGAGAAAUGACUUCUACAGGUUGUUGGGGAAAGAGGAGUUAUUUUAAAGAUCACAGAGCCCGUGAUGUGCCAGGCGCACCCACACAGGGCAUAUAGUCCCCGCAGCUGCCUCUGUGCUGGGGCCACGUCACCGUCCUGUCCUAAAGACAAGCAAUGUGAAGCCCAGAGAUGGUAUCUUAAAACAAUCGUGUGGUUUUUUUCUGAUUACAACAGCAAUUGUGUUAAUCCAACAAUAUUUUUCCUAUCAACUGUAAACCUUAUUUUAAUAUUUACAUAUUUAUUAGCAUUUAAAAUUCAAUCUCCUAGAAUAUUGACUUCAAUUAGUUUGGCUGAUUCUAAUUUUUUUUUUCUAAUUUGUUUAUCACUUAACUUUUUAAGUACUUUUUUUUUUUAGACAGAGUCUUGCUCUGUCACCCAGGCUGGAGUGCAGUGGUGCAAUCUCGGCUCACUGCAACCUCUGCCUCCUGGGCUCAAGCGAUUCUCCUGCCUCAACCUCCCGAGUAGCUGGGACUACAGGCUCACACCACCAUGCCCAGCUAAUUUUUAUAUUUUUAGUAGAGAUGGGGUUUCACCAUGUUGUCCAGGCUGGUCUCGAACUCCUGACCUCAAGUGAUCCCCCACCUCAGCCUCCCAAAGUGCUGGGAUUACAGGUGUGAGCCACCGUGCCUGGCCUGUUUUUAGUACUUUUAUCCUUUAUCUUUUUAACUACGUAAGUACUCAACAUUUUAAAUUAUUAAUCUUCACCAUGUUAUUUCCAAGAACAAUCACGAUUGAUCUUUCAGUUACACAGCCACGGUGUGUGCCUCUCUGUGUAACUCUGCACAGCUGGUGAUUUACUGAAAGAACUUACUCUCAUAAAACCACAGCCAGCGAGUUCUCAGAGACACAAUAAUGCACCUUAAUUAUGAGUUUAAAAGCUCUUGUCUUGUGAAAUGUAAUCGAUCCACAGAAAAAUCAUAAAGUAUACAUGUAAUAGCUUAAUGACUUAUAAAUGAAGAUCUGUAUACUUCCCACUCGAAAAACGGAAUAUUGCAGGAUUUGAGUACACAACCCGUACCUUUCCAACGACAGCCUCCCUCCCACCAGAGCUUCUGCUGAGUUCACUUGAAAUCACUUCCUUGCAUUUAUUUAUACUUUUAUUACCUUGAGGUGCAUCCCUAACCAUUCUAGUUCGAUUUUGCCUGGUGUUUGAACUUUAUAUUAAUGGAAUCAUAGGACAUAAUUCUUAUAUCUCUGGUUUCUUUCAUUCAACUUUGUGUCUGCGAAAUGUAUCCAUGUUGCAUGCAACGGGGGCUCAUUCAUCGCUGGUUACUGAUUCACUGCAUGAGUAUGACACAGUUUAUUAACCAUUUCACUGCUGAUGAACAUUUGAUCAUUUCUAGUUUGGGAAUAUUAUUAAUAAUUUUUGAACCUUCUUAUUUGUGUGCCCUGAUGUACAUGGACAUGCAUUUUAGGGGUGUAUACUUAGGGAAAUUGCCGGUUCAUGAGUAACACCUAUCUUCAGGUAUUACUUUUUGUGCCCUUUUAUGCUGAACUACAAUUUACGUGCAAUACCAAUCAUUCAUAUUAAGUGUACAACUCAGUGAGUUUAGACAACUGGACACCUUGUUGUGAGUCACCACCACCGAGAUGAUCCAGCACUGUCCCAACUCCCCCCAAGUUCUCCUUUGCAGGCACCCUCUCCCUCCAUUCUGGGCACAGGCAACCAUGAACCACUAUCUGUCACCGUAGCUUUAGUAUAAAAUUUCACAUACAUGGACUCAGGGAGCAUAGAGUCUUUCCUGUCUGGCUUCUUUCCGCUGGCAAAAUGCUUGGAGACUUUUCCACGUUGCUGCAUGAAUCAAUGGAUCAUUUGUUUUCGUGGCUGAGCAGAAUUCCACCAACAUUUGUUUACUCAUCCAUGAAAUGAUGGACAUUUGGUGUUUUUCCAUUGAGAUUGUUAUGAAUAAUGCUGCUAUUGUCAUUCAAGGACAAGUCUUCUGUGAACAUCUGUUUUCACUUCUCUUGGGUACAUCCUUAGAAGUGGUAUUGCUGGACUGUAUCAAAAGUUAAUAUUUAACUUUCAGGAAACUUACAAACUGUUUUCCAGAGUGGCUGUACCAUUUUGCAUUCCCAGACCGAAGUGUGAAAGCUCCAGAUGCCCCACGCCCUCACCAGCCCACGGUGUUGUCAGCCUUAAUAGUGCUGACCAUUCUGCCUGUUAAUAUGAUGAAUUACACUGAUUCAGUUUCAAAUGUCCAACCAAGCUUGCACUCCAGAGAUGAAGCCCACUUGAUCACAUGGAUUAUUCUUUUAAUAUAUGAUGGAUACGACUUGGCUGUUCUUUUGUUGAGGAUUUUUGUGUUUAUGUUAAUGAGGAUAUUAUUUGUAGUUUUCUUUUCUUGUAAUGUUUUUGUCUUUGUUCAGUGUCAGAGUAAUGCCAACUUCAUAAAGUGAGCUGGGAAGUA